GCUUUAAAAGCAUCUGCAGUCUCCGCAAAAGUCUUACAUUCACCGAAUGCCUUGCACUUGUUCCAGGACUCACUGCAAGACCAGAACACUCUGAAGGAUGUCUUCCCAGCAAUCACAGUGCCCAACCAACCCACAGCCAUGCCAAGACAACCCACAGAAAUGUCCACCAAAGCAAGAUGCUGAUUGCACUCCACCAAAAACGUGCUCACCUCCCCAGGAUCAACAGAAGAAGGCACCUCCAUCCUGUCCACAGAAUCCAAAAUAACAUCUCCUGGAGUUAAGAAGAGAGAAGGCAAUUGGUGGGGGCAAUGUCAAAAGUGGACUGCUUCCUUUCCACAUGCUCAUAACUAAAAACUCAGGUGCUGAUUACAGAAUUUUCGUUGUGGCAUCUGGUCGGCCACUAUGAGAACAGGAAACGGGACUAGAUGGGCCUUUGGUCCAGUCCAUAAUGUGCUUGAUAUUAGUCCAAAUCCACAUGAUUCUCCUUUGCAACCCCAAUGCUUACUGUGAAGAGAUAACCCAGCAUUGAUGCUCAAUUGGCUUGCAAGAUAUUACAUAAUAUACAGGUCUCACUUUGCCUUUCGCCAUACCACAGUUGUCGUUCUUUCUCUUUUCCAUUCUGGAAGAAAACAUAAAACAUGAUAUUUUAUAAUAAAAAACACACACUCAUGAUUUGACAAGUCAUUCAU
Podarcis raffonei (Aeolian wall lizard) is the source of this 689-nucleotide long non-coding RNA. RefSeq lists it as uncharacterized. NCBI's taxonomy places the organism in Eukaryota, Metazoa, Chordata, Lepidosauria, Squamata, Lacertidae. The transcript has 3 exons. The record is from RefSeq and is a predicted model, not a curated record.